Molecule: long non-coding RNA, 308 nt
Organism: Perca fluviatilis (European perch)
Lineage: Eukaryota; Metazoa; Chordata; Actinopteri; Perciformes; Percidae
Exons: 3
Source: RefSeq, a predicted model, not a curated record
CUGACUCUCAGUACCAAGGUGAACCCAGAAUCUCUGACUCUCAGUACCAAGGUGAACCCAGCAUCAUCGGCCUGUCUCUGACUCUCAGUACCAAGGUGAACCCAGCAUCAUCGGCCUGUCUCUGACUCUCAGUACCAAGGUGAACCCAGCAUCAUGGGCCUGUCUCUGACUCUCAGUACCAAGGUGAACCCAGCAUCAUGGGCCUGUCUCUGACUCUCAGUACCAAGGUGAACCCAGCAUCAUGGGCCUGUCUCUGACUCUCAGUACCAAGGUGAACCCAGCAUCAUGGGCCUGUCUCUGACUCUCAG